RNAcentral lists this ribosomal RNA (253 nucleotides) under uncultured Lachnospiraceae bacterium. RNAcentral describes it as "partial 16S ribosomal RNA". It matches the Rfam family "Bacterial small subunit ribosomal RNA", at positions 524 to 776 of the family's 1533-position model. The record is from RNAcentral. Lineage: Bacteria; Bacillati; Bacillota; Clostridia; Lachnospirales; Lachnospiraceae.
UACGUAGGGGGCAAGCGUUAUCCGGAUUUACUGGGUGUAAAGGGAGCGUAGACGGCGCGGCAAGUCUGAAGUGAAAGGCAGGGGCUUAACCCCUGAACUGCUUUGGAAACUGCCAUGCUAGAGUGCUGGAGAGGUAAGUGGAAUUCCUAGUGUAGCGGUGAAAUGCGUAGAUAUUAGGAGGAACACCAGUGGCGAAGGCGACUUUCUGGACCGGUAUUGACGCUGAGGCGCGAAAGCGUGGGGAGCAAACAGG